Ooceraea biroi (clonal raider ant) is the source of this 1052-nucleotide long non-coding RNA. RefSeq lists it as uncharacterized. Lineage: Eukaryota; Metazoa; Arthropoda; Insecta; Hymenoptera; Formicidae. The record is from RefSeq and is a predicted model, not a curated record.
CAAAAUUAUUUUGCGAAAAUUAAAAAGAUAAUGAUUAAAAAUAAUUAAAAAUAAUAAUUAUGCAUCGUGUUGGGCGACCUAUAGUAUAACAGAGAUGCGCCAAUGAUCACGUGAUUGCGAUAUUUUGCUGAUUGGUCAGAGUAAAUUGUAUAAACGUAGCCGCUGCCAUGUUGAAUUUCUCGCUGCCAUGUUGAAUCUGUCACUAUCUUUCAUACAAAAUUUACCAUGCCAACCAAUUGUGCUGCAAAUCGCUGUACGAACAACAGCAACAAAGGUUAUGUAGUAUUUAAUUUCCCAGCAAAUGCAGAUUGUCGUAAGAAAUGGAUAGCUGCUCUUUCAAAGAACCCCGAUUGGUGACCCACAGCUUCGCAAAGAAUUUGUGAGGUGAGUGAUACUAAUAGAAAUUUACUGCAUAACCUUUGUUGCUGUUCGUACAGCGAUUUGCAGCACAAAUAGUACCUGUAUUUAAUGUGUUACUACAAUAUAUUUUCCUCUGUUAUAUGCAAUUUAUAAUAUGUAAAAUACAAGAAGGCACCGAACCAAAUUUACUUGUUUACGUUCAGCAACAAAUUCAAUUUCCGAUGGCGUGAAAUGUACCUAUGGGAAGAAAAUCACAAAAUGUUUUGAGUUUAACAGUAAGUUACAUUGUGUUAUUAAUGUCUUAUAUUAUGUUAUUUUCCGAAGUGCAAAGUCAAAGCAUACUGCACAUUACUACUAACCUCGCAAACUUUUUGAGAACUACUAGGUGUCCAAUUCUUGCCUCUUCCAACCGCAGCAAUCCAUUUUUGUUUACCCUUUAUCACUCCUGUUGGAACACCUAUAUGCAUUGCAACUGGAUGGCAUAGCGAGUGGUAAUGCUGUCUGUAAUACAAAGAACACAAUAAAUAACUUGACAAAGAAAUCAGCGUCGCCAAAUCAAGAGAUACUGUAAUAUUUCUUAUAGAAAACAAGAAUAAACAGUAAAUAUAUUGUUUCAAUAUAUUUCUCGAAUGCAACUGACAUUUUUUACAAUCAAAAUUUAUUUAUAAUUUAUAAUAAUAAAGAUUUACCUC